This 209-nucleotide unclassified non-coding RNA is filed under the name uncultured fungus. Its description in RNAcentral is "sequence contains ITS1". Lineage: Eukaryota; Fungi. The record is from RNAcentral.
CCGAGUUAGGGUCUGCCCUCGCGCGGCCCGACCUCCCAACCCUGUGUCUACACCACCUUGUCGUUGCUUCGGCGGACCGGUCGACCAACUGGUCUCGACCGCCGGGGGCCCUUUGCUGCCCCUGGAGAGCGUCCGCCGACGGCCCCCCACAAUAACUCUUGUACCGAAACGUGUCGUCUGAAUGCAAACUUGAUAAUAAUCAAAACACA